CCCAACUAUCCCUAUUAAUCAUUACGGUGAUCCUAGAAACCAACAAAAUAGAACCAUGCCGUCCUAUUCUAUUAUUCCAGCUCCAAUAGCGUAUAUUAAAGUUGUUGCAGUUAAAAAGCUCGUAGUUGAAUUUCGGGAUUAGUACGCUGGUCGUGCCUUCGGUACGUACUGGUGUUACUGAUUUCUACCUUCUGACGAACCAUCAUGUCAUUAAUUUGGUGUGGUGGGGAAUCAGGACUGUUACUUUGAAAAAAUUAGAGUGUUUAAAGCAGGCUCGCGCUUGAAUACAUUAGCAUGGAAUAAUGAAAUAGGACGUUGAUCCUAUUUUGUUGGUUUCUAGGAUUGACGUAAUGAUUAAUAGGGAUAGUUGGGCGUACAGUUAUC
Molecule: unclassified non-coding RNA, 384 nt
Filed under: uncultured Glomeraceae
Lineage: Eukaryota; Fungi; Glomeromycota; Glomeromycetes; Glomerales; Glomeraceae
Description: bacterial SSU rRNA
Rfam family: Eukaryotic small subunit ribosomal RNA
Source: RNAcentral